Molecule: long non-coding RNA, 4032 nt
Organism: Pongo pygmaeus (Bornean orangutan)
Lineage: Eukaryota; Metazoa; Chordata; Mammalia; Primates; Hominidae
Exons: 3
Source: RefSeq, a predicted model, not a curated record
CUCCUAAAAUCAGUGCUAGUGUGACAGGUCUGAGCAGCAAAGUGUCCCCAUGACUUGCUUGUUUUUCCUGAACUACCAGGAGCUGUAGACAACCUGCAUUGAGAUUCCACACCAAAGAAAGGAAGGGUGGUCUUGCGCUUACGAGAAACCAGGUGGCAGGCCAGGUACGUGUGGAAGGCCUCACACGGUUGCCUUGAGAUACAGCUACCAGAGGCCUGUGGAGUCUCUCCCCACAAGCUACCUCUGGAUGGCUCAGUUCUCCUUUUUUGUUUAAUUCAAAUGAUGAGUUCCUUCCUCUCAGGUAAUUUUAUUUCAUUUGAUGUUAAAUGUCAUAUUUUAAUUCUUCUAUCAUCUGCCUGUGGUUGCUUAAUUUUUGCUUGAACUUUUAGUUCUACAUUAAUUGCAAUAAAUGCUUUAAAACCCUUACAUCAUUAUCGACUGAACUCUCUAUUUUCUUUUUUUCUUGAGAUGGAGUCUCGCUCUGUCACCCAGGCUGGAGUGCAGUGGUGUGAUCUCGGCUCACUGCAAGCUCCGCCUCCUGGGUUGACGCCACUCUCCUGCCUCAGCCUCCCAAGUAGCUGGGACUACAGGUGCCCACCACCACGCCUGGCUAAUUUUUUGUAUUUUUAGUAGAGACGGGGUUUCACUGUGUCAGCCAGGAUGGUCUCGAUCUCCUGACCUCGUGAUCUGCCCGUCUCGGCCUCCCAAACUGCUGGGAUUACAGGCGUGAGACACCGGGCCCAGCCUCUAUUUUCUUUAUAAACAUCUUCACCCAAGAGCUACCCUUGUUCCUCCCUUGCCACUUUCCUAAGUGUCCCUCCUUGUGCUGUUCCCUGUUUGUUUACACUGACUGAACAUUCUUCAGGGACCUUGGUUCUCAGUGUCUCACCCUCUAUCUGAUUGGAACAGACUAGACAUCACCUCUGUCCCAAAGCAGAGUAUUCCUGGCAAUUUCUACCUCACUGUCAUUCUCGUCAAUUUCCUUAGACAAACAACAACAUUUGUAGCACAACUCCAUGGACUGGUUCAUCCUGAGAAGAGAAGGGGAGCCACAACCUCACCCCACCUUCUCAGCUGCUCAAUCAGCCAUUGCUGUUUCCCAUCAACACAUACUUGCUGGGUGUCUACUGCAUUCAUGGUCCGGUACCAAAACCAGAUGAGUCACAGCCCCUGACCUCUGAGGGCUUAUUUAUGGUUAAAUGAGACAACCGAAGUAAAGAAAACACGUAGAGCUUAUUUUGAAGGCAAUGACAAAUAUCAGUGCAAUGUUUAAUACGUGGUUGUUAGUCUCACUAUAUAAUCAAGCAUCUGUCACUGUCUUUUGUAUCUGUGCAAAUAAAUAUGAAAAUUCAGACCAUUUAUAAUACCAGUGCCAGAGCAGCAAGUGAGGAAGAAACAAGGGCAUCUGUUCAUGUAUAAUCGUCUCUCCUGGGAAGGGGGUGUCCAACCCAAGAACUGCUCUGCAGGAUUUUUGCUCCAGUUCCCUGUGGAGAAAGAGCUGAGCUGGCUCAAGCCAUUGAGAACUGUGGAGCCAAGAAAUCAUCACAACAAGGAGGCACGUGGCACUGUGUGCUUGCAUCUGGCCAUCCCUGAAGACUCUGCCAGGCUGUGUGCUCUGUCUCUCAUGGCUCUUCUCUGUGCCGUCAUCUCAGCAAAGCACAUUCCAGAGCUGCAAUCUGACUCACAGGAAAGUGUGAUCUAGUGUGAUCACAGUGCUGCUCCAGAUUGCAGCUGCAGGAAUGGGGUGGGGGUACAGUGGGAAGAGUGGGGAGACUGUUCCAGGUCUCCAGCCUCUUUUAGGAACAAAAGUUUCCAGAGAAAGGAGGUCAGAAAUAGGGAGGAAAAAAUUCCAUGCCUUUUAUAUAGGGCCACCUUGAAAUCCUUCUUGAUCUUCAUGGAUGACAGGUGCUGGAAAAUCACCAUGGCCAGGUUAAGAUGCAAACUUAGAAUGGUGGUUACACAUACUAUGACUGGAUAUGAAUCUGGAAAAUUACUCUUGCUGUUUUCAUUCUAUUACCAAAACUUCAUAAUUGUCUGUACUCACAUCCCCAGGCUGUUGCCAUUCCAUUUCACUUUUCCCUCCAAGUCUAUCACUGGCUUAAUAUAUAGGAAAAAAGAGCAUGAACACUUUCACAGCAGUUUUCAUAUUAUCCAUAAGUUCACCAAGAAAGUUAUUCAAUGUGUAUAGCUAUAAAUGAGAACAUGGGUCAAAUGAUACAAGUUGGUAUUAUCAAGUGUUUAAAGAGCAUGUAUAUAUUACUUUCGUAUUAUUUACACCUCUAACUCUUACUCUGAAACUUUUACUUUUUCAAUCAGAUAGCUGUAACUAAACACUAGAUCAAUAAAAUGAUAAAAGCUAAAAGAGACAAAGGGUGGAGAAAUGGAUCCAUUUUCUGCCACCUACAAGGCAAGAAAUGCUAUGCACACAAAGACAUAAUGGUGCAAACUGUAACAAAUGCCAACAAUAAGAUAUACAUUUAAAUAAAAUAUAAAGACUACUACUAGUACUAAACAUAAUCUUUAACCACAAGGAGGGUCCAACCCACAAUGUUGGACCAUACACACAAAUUAACUCAAAAUGGAUCACAGACCAAAAUAUAAGGGCAAAAGCUAUAAAAUUCUUAGAAGAAAACACAGAAGUAUGUUCGCAUAACCUUGGAUUCACCAAUGGUUUCUUAGCUAUGACCCUGAAAACACAAGCGAUAAUAAUAACAAAAAUGACAAAUUGGACAUCAUUAAAAUGAUAAAUCUUUGUGUUUCAAAGGACACUAUCAAAAAAGUGAAAAACUCCACAGAAUGGGAAAAAAUAUUUGCAAAUGAAAAGAACUUAUACAGAGAACUCUUACAAUUCAACAAGAAAAAAUAACCCAACUUUAAAAAUACGCAAAGGACUUGAAAGACAUUUCUCUAAAGAAGAUAUACAAAUGGCCAAUAGCCUAUGAAAAGAUGCUCAGCCAGGUGCGGUGGCUCACGCCUGUAAUCCCAGCACUUUGGGAAGCCGAGGCAGGCAGAUGAUGAGGUCAAGAGAUAGAGACCAUCCAGGCCAACAUGGUGAAACCCUGUCUCUACUAAAAAUACAAAAAAUUAGCUGGGCGUGGUAGCGCGCACGUGUAGUCCCAGCUACUUGGGAGACUGAGGCAGAAGAAUCGCUUGAACCCAGGAGGCUGAGGUCGCAGUGAGCUGAGAUCAUGCCACUGCACUCCGCCCUGGCGACAGAGCGAGACUCCAUCUCAGAAAAAAAAGAAAAGAUGCUCAACAUUGCUAGUCAUCAGGAAAUGCAAAUCAAAGCCACAAUGAGAUACCCACUUCAGACACAUGUGGAUGGCUACAAUAAAAAAGACAACAAUAACAAAUUUUGGAGUAGAUGUGGAGAAAGUGGAACCCUGGUAUAUUUUACAUUGCUGAUGGGAAUGUAAAGUCGUGUAGCCACUUUGGAAAAUAUUGUGGCAGUCCCUCAGAAAAUCAAACAUAGAGUUACCUUAUGACUCAGCAAUUCCAUGCCUAGGUAUAUAUUCAGGAGAAAUGAAAAUACAUCCACACAAAAAACUUGUAUGCAGAUAUUCAUAGUAGCACUAUUCAUGUUAAUCAUAAAGUGGAAACAACUCAGGUGUGCAUCAACUCAAAAGAGAAAUAAAACAUAGCAUAUUCACAGAUAAUGGAUUAUUAUUCAUCCAUAACAAGGAAUGAAGUACUGAAACAUGUCACAACAUGGAUAAACCUUAAAAAUAUUAUGCUAGGUAAAAGAAGCCAGUCACAAAAGAUUUGUGAUUUUAUAUAUAUGAAGUAUCCAGAAUAAGCAAAUCUGUAGAGACAAAAAGUAGAUGAGUGGUUGCCAGGGGCUGGGAAGAAUUGGGAAUUGGCAGUCAAUUGGUAUGGGGUUUCUUUUUGAGGUUGCAGAAAGUUCUAAUAUCGUAUUAUAGUUAUGAUUGCACAAGUCUGUAAUUACAAUAAACACAAUUGAAUUGUACACUUUAAAUAAAUGAAUUAUAUGGGAUGUGAAUUAUGUAUCAAUAAAGCUCUUUAAAAAUGUGA